UAAGGAAUAUUGGACAAUGGGCGCAAGCCUGAUCCAGCCAUGCCGCGUGAGUGAUGAAGGCCUUAGGGUUGUAAAGCUCUUUUGGCGGGGAAGAUAAUGACUGAACCCGCAGAAUAAGCCCCGGCUAAAUUCGUGCCAGCAGCCGCGGUAAUACGAAUGGGGCAAGCGUUGUUCGGAAUCACUGGGCGUAAAGCGUGCGUAGGCGGUUUAGCAAGUCAGAAGUGAAAUCCCAGAGCUCAACUCUGGAAUUGCUUUUGAAACUGCUAGACUAGAGACUCGGAGAGGUUGGCAGAAUUCCCAGUGUAGAGGUGAAAUUCGCAGAUAUUGGGAGGAAUACCAGUGGCGUAAGCGGCCAACUGGACGAGUACUGACGCUGAGGCACGAAAGCGUGGGGAUCAAA
This 400-nucleotide ribosomal RNA is filed under the name uncultured bacterium. RNAcentral describes it as "bacterial SSU rRNA". It matches the Rfam family "Bacterial small subunit ribosomal RNA", at positions 355 to 772 of the family's 1533-position model. The record is from RNAcentral.